This 330-nucleotide ribosomal RNA is filed under the name uncultured Spirochaetota bacterium. Its description in RNAcentral is "bacterial SSU rRNA". It matches the Rfam family "Bacterial small subunit ribosomal RNA", at positions 29 to 351 of the family's 1533-position model. The record is from RNAcentral. Lineage: Bacteria; Pseudomonadati; Spirochaetota.
AACGAACGCUGGCGGCGCGUUUUACGCAUGCAAGUCGAACGGCAUAAGCUGUAGCAAUAUGGUUUAGAGAGUGGCAAACGGGUGAGUAACACGUAGGUGAUCUACCUCUGGACGGGGGAUAGCCCGUGGAAACACGGGGUAAUACCGCAUGAGGCCCUUGGUGUAAAGGCCAGGGGUGAAAGGUCCAAUUGGACCAUCUGGGGAUGAGCCUGCGUCCCAUUAGGCAGUUGGCGGGGUAAGAGCCCACCAAACCGACGAUGGGUAGCCGGCCUGAGAGGGUGAACGGCCACACUGGAACUGAGACACGGUCCAGACUCCUACGGGAGGCUG